UACGUAGGGGGCAAGCGUUGUCCGGAUUUAUUGGGCGGAAAGAGCGUGUAGGCGGUCAGGUAGGUCCGUUGUGAAAACUCGAGGCUCAACCUCGAGACGCCGAUGGAAACCAUCUGACUAGAGUCCGGAAGAGGAGAGUGGAAUUCCUGGUGUAGCGGUGAAAUGCGCAGAUAUCAGGAAGAACACCCGUGGCUAAGGCGGCUCUCUAGUACGGUACUGACGCUGAGACGCGAAAGCGUGGGGAGCGAACAGG
RNAcentral lists this ribosomal RNA (253 nucleotides) under uncultured bacterium. RNAcentral describes it as "partial 16S ribosomal RNA". It matches the Rfam family "Bacterial small subunit ribosomal RNA", at positions 524 to 776 of the family's 1533-position model. The record is from RNAcentral.